GCGGCGCCCCGGAGCUCGGGCCGGUGGAAGGUUCACCUGCUAGGCUCGUCCGACAUGUCUCGCGCUCCCAUCGCACUCCAGCGUUGCGCAGCCUGGAGGGACAGGACGGACACGCGUGUGCCUCCUUCUAAUUCAUCUUGUAUGGCUUCACCAUUGUGGUUGUCAAUAUGGCAUGCAGAAUUAUCCCUCUUUCCAGCUUCUAGAGUCUACCUGGUUUCCUGGGCUCAUGGCCCCUUCCUCCAUCUUCAAACCAGCAAUGAUUGGAACGACCUGGAGCAGCCAGCAGAGCGACAAAUGAGGAAGAGGACAGAAUCUAGCUGAAGAAGCUCUGGAAGAUACCAUUUGAAGUCUGAGUUCUUGAACUCGCAAAGAAAGCACGUGAGUACACACUAGUACUUGAGCUCUUCAUUUUAAACAGAAUAAAGAAUGUACUGCUAUUAUUGUCAUUUUACAGACUGGGAAAUUCAGACUCACCAGGGCUACCCAGAUAGAAAGAAAAUGAGCCAGAAUUUCAAGCAAGCCUGAGCUUAGAAUCUACACCCUCUUUUUUUUUUUUUUUUUUUUUUUUUUGAGACAGGGUCUUACUUUGUCACCCAGGCUGGAGUUCAGUGGUAUUAGGUUGGCACAAAAGUAAUUGCGGUCUUUGCCAUUUAAAACUAGAGCCCGAAACUGCAAUUACUUUUGCACCAACCUAAUGCACUUACCAGAGCUCACUUAAGCUUUGACCUCCUGGGCUCAAGUGAUUCUCCCACCUCAGCCUCCCAAGUGGCUGGGAAUAUGGGCAUGCACCAUCCUGCCCGGCUAGAUUUUCUUUCUUUCUUUUUUUUUUUUUUUUUUUUGUGGAGACAAGAUUUUGCCAUGUUGUCCUGGCUGGUCUUUAACUCCUGAGCUCAAACUAUCCUUCUGCCCUGGCCUCCCAAAGUUCUGGGAUUACAGGCAUGAGCCACUGUGCCCGGCCCAGAACCUAUGCUCCUAACUGCCACACCAAUUGACCUCUAUUCAUCCAUUUUUAUUUCUAUAGCACUUGGUAUAAUUUCACUUUGCACACAGUAUCUAUAGAUAAUCAUUCCAGGGCAUGUAAUCGUCAUAAGAUUAUUUAUGUUAUUGCAUGUGUAUUACUGCAUGUAAUCUUCACAUGUUAUUGCCUCUAACAAGUUACGUAUUUGCAUGUAGUCUUCAUAACUGUGUAUAGAAGGCCAUUUUAGAGAUGGAAAACUGAGACUCAGAAGUGGUAAUCGUCCUACUGGUCAGAGAUUUAGCCAGGGUUUGGAUUGUGGAAUGCAGAGGACCACUUACUUUUCACUACACCAUAAAUACUCCUCACCACUGAGGCAUGUCAAAUGCCAGAUAUCUCCAGGAACCUUAGGCUACGUCUCCAUUGUUUUUGCUUUUUCCCCCCUAGACACAGCUUGGCAAAGAACAAAUGAUCCCAAACAUCAAACAGCACAGUUGGAAACAUUUAACCCACAUACUUUCAGACUUUCUGGCAUGGACCAACCUCUUGUCUUACCUUUGUUCCUGGCCAGAAAGAAAUGGCAUGAAAAGAUGGACGGUUUUUAUAACCUCUUUGAGCUCUAAACCAUGUUUCCUGUGCACUUAGGAGAUCUUCAUAGAAACCAAGUACUUCUUUUAGGCAUCUAUACUCUUAAUGCCGUAAGUCAAGUCAAGUACCCAGGUGGAUAAGACAACUGUACCAACAGAAACAUUUUUAAAAAAUAUCCUAACACAACACGAAGUGACCAUCGCAAAUUCAAAGAAGCAGGCAUAUUUCUUAAAGGUUGAAAAGAGGUGAGUCUUUCACAAGAUUCUAGCUCAAGGCCAUAUUUGCACAAGUAUAGUCAUUCCUCUAGCAAGGUUUUGUUUAUCUGGCCAUUAAAAAAAAUUAAAACAA
RNAcentral lists this long non-coding RNA (1891 nucleotides) under Pongo abelii (Sumatran orangutan). Its description in RNAcentral is "lincRNA". Lineage: Eukaryota; Metazoa; Chordata; Mammalia; Primates; Hominidae. The record is from RNAcentral.